Molecule: ribosomal RNA, 750 nt
Filed under: uncultured bacterium
Lineage: Bacteria
Description: bacterial SSU rRNA
Rfam family: Bacterial small subunit ribosomal RNA
Source: RNAcentral
CAGGCCUAACACAUGCAAGUCGAGCGGACUUAUCCUUCGGGAUAGGUUAGCGGCGGACGGGUGAGUAACACGUAGGCAACCUGCCUGUAAGAUCGGGAUAACUACCGGAAACGGUAGCUAAGACCGGAUAGCUGGUUUCUCCGCAUGGGGGAAUCAUGAAACACGGGGCAACCUGUGGCUUACGGAUGGGCCUGCGGCGCAUUAGCUAGUUGGUAGGGUAACGGCCCACCAAGGCGACGAUGCGAAGCCGACCUGAGAGGGUGAUCGGCCACACUGGGACUGAGACACGGCCCAGACUCCUACGGGAGGCAGCAGUAGGGAAUCUUCCGCAAAGGGCGCAAGCCUGACGGAGCAACGCCGCGUGAGUGAUGAAGGUUUUCGGAUCGUAAAGCUCUGUUGCCAAGGAAGGACGCCUCGGAGAGUAACUGCUCUGAGGGUGACGGUACUUGAGAAGAAAGCCCCGGCUAACUACGUGCCAGCAGCCGCGGUAAUACGUAGGGGGCAAGCGUUGUCCGGAAUUAUUGGGCGUAAAGCGCGCGCAGGCGGUCUUUUAAGUUUGGUGUUUAAGCCCGGGGCUCAACCCCGGUUCGCACUGAAAACUGGGAGACUUGAGUGCAGGAGAGGAAAGCGGAAUUCCACGUGUAGCGGUGAAAUGCGUAGAGAUGUGGAGGAACACCAGUGGCGAAGGCGGCUUUCUGGACUGUAACUGACGCUGAGGCGCGAAAGCGUGGGGAGCAAACAGGAUUAGAU